UUUUUUGGGCAUAGAGAUGUCAGUUGUUCCUGGUGGGAUGAUCCUUAAUCAGCAUAAGUAUGUUUUUGACCUGCUGCAUCAGUUUGACUCUAUAAAUGUUUCUCCUGUUGUUAGUUCUUUAGAUAUUAAUGUCAAACUUCAUACUGAUUCUGGUGAUAUUUUAUCCUCCCCUGAUCAAUAUAGGAGCCUUGUUGGUAAGCUCCUAUUUUUGACUCACACUAGGCCUGACAUCUGUUUUGCUGUUCAGCAUCUGAGUCAAUUUUUGAAAUGUCCCAGAGUCCCUCGUAUGACUGCUGCCCUAGACGUCCUUCGAUAUCCUAAGGGCACUUUAUCUUUGGGUAUCUUCUAUUGUGACAAUUAUUUUCUCUAUUACUGCUUAUUCUGACAGUGAUUGGGCUGCCUGCCCUGAUUUGACAUUUGUUUUGUUGUUCAGCAUCUGAGCCAAUUUUUGAAAUGUCCCAGAAUCCCUCAUAUGACUGCUGCCCUCCAUGUCCUCAGAUAUCUUAAGGGCUCUUUAUCUUUGGGUCUGUUCUAUUCUGACAGUUCUGAUUUCUCUAUUACUGCUUAUUCUGACAGUGAUUGGGCUGCCUGCCCUGAUACUCGCGGAUCUGUUACUGGUUUUUGUGUUAUUUUGGGUGGCUGUUUGAUUAGUUGAAAGUCCAAAAAGCAACCUGUAGUUUCCUUAUCUUCUGCUGAAGCAGAAUAUAAGGCACUCAGUAAAGUGGUAGCUGAAUUGUCUUGGCUUUCUCGUUUACUUACUGAUAUUGGGGUUUCGGUUACUCUUCCUUUCUCUGUUUUUGUGACAACCAGGCUGAUUUUCAUAUUGCCAAGAAUCGUGUUUUUCAUAAUCGGACCAAGCAUAUUGAGGUGGAUUGUCACUUUGUUAGGGAUCAGCUGACUAGUGGGCUCAUUGCACUCUCCCAUGUCCCUACCUCUCCCCAGCUAGCUGACCUCCUCACCAAGCCUUUGCCUGAGAACUCCCAUGUCCCUACCUCUCGACAGCUAGCUGACCUCCUUACCAAGCCUCUGCCUGGGACUGCCCUCCAUCCUCUCCUGGUCAAGUUGAAGGUGGUCUCCCGCUCCAACUUGAGGGGGGGUGUUGAGCUACAAACUUAUCUAGCUUCUAAGCCUAAACAUAAAUGUAGAC
Molecule: long non-coding RNA, 1147 nt
Filed under: Nicotiana benthamiana
Lineage: Eukaryota; Viridiplantae; Streptophyta; Magnoliopsida; Solanales; Solanaceae
Description: long non-coding RNA (NBEN_LNC015874)
Source: RNAcentral